Non-coding RNA from Podarcis lilfordi (Lilford's wall lizard), 70 nucleotides. The record is from the annotation of a GenBank genome assembly. Lineage: Eukaryota; Metazoa; Chordata; Lepidosauria; Squamata; Lacertidae.
GGAUAUAGCUCACUGGCAGAGCAGCUGCUAUGCAUGCAGAAUAUCCCAGGUUCAAUCCCUGGCAUGUCCA